GGGGGGUAUUGCUGUAGGUUUACGGUUUAAAUGCAGUGGGUACAGAUGCAGCUGCAUGUUUAGAGUGAAUACUGACUGCUUGGUUAAUAUAGCAUAUUAUAGGGUUCAUACAGGAGGUGUGGAGUUAAUAUAUAUAUAUAGGUUUAUACAAUACUGCUAUGCACUCCUCUUUUUGUAAAAGAUUUGUGAAAUGUUCUACAUCUAGCCGUUCAGAUCAUUACAACAAAAUAGUUCAAGAGAGAGCCAAUUCAUUCUUUUACAUAAAAGUUUGCUUUGAAGUCCUCAUUCAUUUACUCUGAAACUCAGGAUUUAUUUAUAGAAUCGAAAUAAAAUGAUAAGUAAUUAUACACCUAUCUUGACCAUUUACUGAUGCAAGAUAGCCCUGCAGCUAUUAUAAGAGAUCAAAUUUAAAAAAUGUACAUAU
This is a non-coding RNA of Pelobates cultripes (western spadefoot toad), 424 nucleotides long. NCBI's taxonomy places the organism in Eukaryota, Metazoa, Chordata, Amphibia, Anura, Pelobatidae. The record is from the annotation of a GenBank genome assembly.